RNAcentral lists this antisense RNA (75 nucleotides) under Streptomyces sp. KhCrAH-43. RNAcentral describes it as "ASpks TB sRNA". It matches the Rfam family "ASpks TB sRNA". Lineage: Bacteria; Bacillati; Actinomycetota; Actinomycetes; Kitasatosporales; Streptomycetaceae. The record is from RNAcentral.
CUUGAUGGACCCCAGCCACAGGGGCUCCGCCUCCGAGCGCCCCUGCCCGUAGGUGGCGAGCAGCGCCUGCGCCUC